RNAcentral lists this transfer RNA (76 nucleotides) under Helicobacter sp. CLO-3. Its description in RNAcentral is "tRNA-Ala". It matches the Rfam family "tRNA". From Rfam's summary of the family: Transfer RNA (tRNA) molecules are approximately 80 nucleotides in length. Their secondary structure includes four short double-helical elements and three loops (D, anti-codon, and T loops). Further hydrogen bonds mediate the characteristic L-shaped molecular structure. tRNAs have two regions of fundamental functional importance: the anti-codon, which is responsible for specific mRNA codon recognition, and the 3' end, to which the tRNAs corresponding amino acid is attached (by aminoacyl-tRNA synthetases). tRNAs cope with the degeneracy of the genetic code in two manners: having more than one tRNA (with a specific anti-codon) for a particular amino acid; and 'wobble' base-pairing, i.e. permitting non-standard base-pairing at the 3rd anti-codon position. The record is from RNAcentral. Lineage: Bacteria; Pseudomonadati; Campylobacterota; Epsilonproteobacteria; Campylobacterales; Helicobacteraceae.
GGGGUGUUAGCUCAGUUGGUAGAGCGCGAUGCUGGCAGCGUCGAGGUCAGGGGUUCGACCCCCCUACACUCCACCA